This is a long non-coding RNA of Culex pipiens pallens (northern house mosquito), 871 nucleotides long. RefSeq lists it as uncharacterized. Lineage: Eukaryota; Metazoa; Arthropoda; Insecta; Diptera; Culicidae. The record is from RefSeq and is a predicted model, not a curated record. The transcript has 3 exons.
UCCAGAUCCGAUCCGAACCCACGAUUUUUUUUCAAAGCAAAGUUAACUUAAUCCAUAUGAGCGUGUACCACUCUGCUGAGCUGUCAAUCGUUUUGUUUAUAUUUUGUUUUUCUCCAGUUUCAUGGUGAAGUGCGAACGCAAUCAAGUAAAAAGGUGGAGGAAUGUCCGCGUAGUUUGGGCAGCUCGAUCCAGAACCUGUUAACGUUCGUGGCCGCAUCAACUCCAGCUGAAGCGAAUCUGGGUGCUGCACUGUGAGACAUUUUUCCAGCUGCUCGGCAACGAGCGCAUGUUCCACAGCAGCAGCAACGUAACAACACCAUCAACGAGCGGUUGGCCAUAGAAAACAGUCUGACCGAUCCGGAAUCAUGUCUAAGCGUGGCCCUGCUGAUGACGAGCGAGGCACUGGCGGAAGUGGCUUGUGGAUUCUAGCAAGGCAGCGAACAGCCAGCAUCCCGGUAAAAGUCUUGACGGGGAAAAGGUGGCGACGUUUGGCAGAUGUCGCCAAAAAAGAUUCUAACGUGGGACGAUAAGCACAAGCCUUUGGAGCAGUCACCCGAGAUAACCUACAGAAAAACAGAAAAGGUUGUGAAAGUAUAGAAACUGCUUUGGAGGCGUAGCAGGUAUCAGCGAUUGGUUCUGUCGGAGUGCAAAGAAGAUCAAGUAUCUGCCCACAACUUGUUCGUCCUUCCGGUGGAAUUGAAGCUCGCCGAACUCUCCGACAGCGACGGAUAGAAGCAGACCGCCGACCGGAUAUUGAUCAUCGUGGAAGGAUCUCCGUCGCGGAGGCGACACGGUUGUUAAAACUGUGAAAAUUUCACACUUUCGUAAUUAAUACAGUACAUUACCUCAACCCGCUUGAUCGCACUCACCU